Molecule: long non-coding RNA, 1213 nt
Organism: Hylaeus anthracinus
Lineage: Eukaryota; Metazoa; Arthropoda; Insecta; Hymenoptera; Colletidae
Exons: 3
Source: RefSeq, a predicted model, not a curated record
UGUUCUUUGUGUCCCGUUUCGUAAUGGCGCAGUCAAGAAGUUGAAUAAAAUAAAUGUAUCGAAUUCGGACCUGAUUCUCUCGAAUGGAAAUAAUCGAUCGAGUUACUAGUAAUUUUUAGGCGCAACGUUAGCAGAGUGGUAGCAGUGAGUAUCGAUAAAUGAAGCAACGGUAAGAUUGAAAAUGUAAGGAGAUCUUAACUUAUAAUUGAUAAUAAGUACAUGUUCUUUCUUAUUAUUAUUCCGUGAUACGAUCGAUUUUGAGAUAACGAUGUCUGAGAGUUGUUAUCUAUAGUCGAAUCGAUGAGAUCAGAAGCAGAGUUAGUGUAAUUCGGUUAGAAAGGUUUUCAAGGGAUAUCGAAGCUUUCUGGAUCGUAAAAAUUUCGCGAGAUUAAGUUUAGACCACCAGUGUGCGGACAAUCGAGUGUUUCGUUAGUGUUUUGGUUCUGUCGAGUGUUGAACUAUUCUGUGGACGACGGAACAAUAGAAUUUCUUACAACCAAGGAUCACGAACUUUGCUGUAACAGGAGAUAAUGAUGCAAGUUCUAUGUUUACAGUAUUACGUCUACUGUAUUUCCUCUGUGCUUCAACGUCAGUGACGAGGAGAAACUGAGAGGACUAUCGAUACACGCAUCAAAGACCAUCAAAAAUGCACCCGAUUACAUCACACAAUCUGCAAUAGCUGAGCAUUCGAAGGAAACCGGUCAUCGCGUACAAUAAUGAUGAAACGGAGAGUCUAAUUAAUUCUAACUGCAACUAGCUGCGCCAGAUGUCUCUAGUCGUGCUUUUCAUGGCCAGAGGCGAUACCGAUAAAAUAGGAAACUAUUCACAAGGGAAAUUGGAAAAGACGAAUACUAGGUUGAAAGAAUCAGGCUUCUAAGGAUCGAAACCUAAUCCCGAUAGCAAUUCCGAUAACAAAGGAGUGUACCUUCAAUUUCUAAGCCGUUGCAAGGUUCACAGAGUAAAUUACUUAGGGUCGUGAUGACGAUACCAGAAUUUAGAAUCCUCAUUCGGGUAUAACCCAAUUUACUUCAUGACAUUUAAUUCGAAUUCUACUCGGACUCUGGAGAAUUCUUCUCAGAAAAAUCCUGUCGGCCAUGUUGAAGUAGCUCAUUUGGAUAAAAUUGCACAGACUACGUGUAAAAUACAACAAAACAAUCGAAAUGACUUAUUUACAAAAAUUGCAGAGGUACUCCACAAUUUGCAACAUAGACUU